This 429-nucleotide ribosomal RNA is filed under the name Verrucomicrobiota bacterium. RNAcentral's name for it is "Verrucomicrobia bacterium partial 16S ribosomal RNA". It matches the Rfam family "Bacterial small subunit ribosomal RNA", at positions 355 to 776 of the family's 1533-position model. Lineage: Bacteria; Pseudomonadati; Verrucomicrobiota. The record is from RNAcentral.
UAGGGAAUCUUCCGCAAUGGACGAAAGUCUGACGGAGCAACGCCGCGUGAGUGAAGAAGGAUUUCGGUUCGUAAAACUCUGUUGUUAGGGAAGAAAAAAUGUAUAGUAACUAUAUACAAAAGAGACGGUACCUAACCAGAAAGCCACGGCUAACUACGUGCCAGCAGCCGCGGUAAUACGUAGGUGGCAAGCGUUGUCCGGAAUUAUUGGGCGUAAAGCGCGCGCAGGUGGUUUAGAAAGUCUGAUGUGAAAGCCCACGGCUCAACCGUGGAGGGUCAUUUGAAACUAAUAAACUUGAGUGCAGGAAAGGAAAGUGGAAUUCCUAGUGUAGCGGUGAAAUGCGUAGGGAUUAGGAGGGACACCGGUGGCGAAAGCGGCUUUUUGGCCUGCAACUGACACUGAGGCGCGAAAGCGUGGGGAGCAAACAGG